This 434-nucleotide ribosomal RNA is filed under the name uncultured archaeon. RNAcentral describes it as "bacterial SSU rRNA". It matches the Rfam family "Archaeal small subunit ribosomal RNA", at positions 19 to 458 of the family's 1478-position model. The record is from RNAcentral.
GGACCUGACUGCUAUCGGAUUGAUACUAAGCCAUGCGAGUCAUUGUAGCAAUACAAGGCAUACGGCUCAGUAACGCGUAGUCAACCUAACCUAUGGACGGGAAUAACCUCGGGAAACUGAGAAUAAUGCCCGAUAGAACAUUAUGCCUGGAAUGGUUUAUGUUCCAAAUGAUUUAUCGCCGUAGGAUGGGACUGCGGCCUAUCAGUUUGUUGGUGAGGUAAUGGCCCACCAAGACUAUUACAGGUACGGGCUCUGAGAGGAGUAGCCCGGAGAUGGGUACUGAGACACGGACCCAGGCCCUAUGGGGCGCAGCAGGCGAGAAAACUUUGCAAUGUGCGAAAGCACGACAAGGUUAACCCGAGUGGUUUCUGCUAAAGAAACCUUUUGUCAGUCCUAGAAACACUGAUGAAUAAGGGGUGGGCAAGUUCUGGUGU